This is a long non-coding RNA of Talpa occidentalis (Iberian mole), 731 nucleotides long. RefSeq lists it as uncharacterized. Lineage: Eukaryota; Metazoa; Chordata; Mammalia; Eulipotyphla; Talpidae. The transcript is spliced from 6 exons. The record is from RefSeq and is a predicted model, not a curated record.
CAGGAACAUACUGUGUUUUCCAUUUCUCUUGAGACAGCCCUGCGACCACAGAGUGCCUAUUCUUCCUGCAGACCAUGGGCCGGAACAUUUUUGUUUUUGGAUCUUCUUGGAAAUCUGGAAGAUCUGCUGACAUUUGACACACUCUCAGUCAUGCUAACCGUCCACUGAAGCUGAGUGUUGGCUGCCUCCUAGCCUGUGCUCCACAGUUCUGCACAGUCUCCCAAGAGAAAGGAGUGUGACUGUGCCUGCUGAAGGCAGAACCAACACGAUUGAGUCACAAAGGAGUAGUGCCAUCACCAGGCCCUUGGACAUAUGCCCCAGCUGACUGCGUGAGCAAAAAAUGGAGCCACCGAUUCACCUAGGAAGGGCCUCACCAUCACUUGCAUCCAGCCCAUACCUCCCUGAAAGGGAAAAGCCUGGAAGACACACAAGUUCUUCUUAAGGAUGUGAGCGAACAGGAACAUUCUGGAGGUAGCUUCAUAGAGUUCUCACCACCCCCCUAUAGGGACUGAAUGAAGUGUGAGAGGGAAGCUGCUCCAGAUGAAGUACAAAGCAGAUACUUAACUUCACCCCCUGCAUCUGCUAUAGAGGUGUUAUUGUCCAAAAGAACUGUGCAAGAAUCAUUUGAGCUGUGUGAAGAACAAAAACUGAAACAUGUAAGUGCCUACUAACAGGAACAUGAAUGAUUAAAUUGUAGCAAUUGGUACAGUGGAUUAUUACAAAGUGGUGAG